CGACGUAAUCAGCUGGUUACUUUACGUCAAACUGCCGUAUGUCGCAAAACAGCCAAAGAGCCCACACGUAGUUGGCAGCUACUAUCCACUACAGUAUACAUCGUUUUAUUUACUAUUCAAGAUAACUGCUACAAUGGAAAUCUUACGUCCAUCAUUGAUCAACAUAAGUGGAAGAGUAUACAGAAGAAAUACGAUCAAAGAAGACCAGUAUGAAGAGGGGGAAGAGGACGACUCCUACAUGGGACCACCAGCAAGUGAACAGUUUGACGAAGAAGAAGAAGAGUUCUGUGACAGCCACUCCAUAGAACAGACGGACAAAGGUUUCAGCUGUGCCAUUGAUGUCCCAAGUGUUCUUUACAAAUACAUCAUCGGAAGGAAAGGAGAGACACGUAGAAGACUCGAGGCAGACACAAAGACAGACAUCCACAUUCCAAAACAAGGAGUGGAAGGACAGAUCGUGAUCACUGGCUCCCAGAAGGCCGCGGUGUCCUCUGCCGUGACUCGUGUCGAGCUCCUGGUGCAGAGCUUUCGCAAGAAGCAGCCGUUCACCCACUUCCUGUCGUUCGCUCUUAACCACCCUCAAGUUCAGGAUGGAUUCCUGAGGUUUAAAGAGGAGGUGUUGGAGCAGUGUUCUCAGGACCACGGAGUAGAUGGAAGCAUCUUCCAGAACCCUGCUAAGCUCCAUCUAACAGUCGGCACCCUGGCUCUGCUGAACGACCUGGAAGUGACCCAAGCAUGUAAACAACUCCAGCACUGUCAGGACUUUAUCAAGACCAUCACAGAAGGGAAGCCUCUCCCGCUGGAGGUGACAGGGAUUGAGUACAUGAACGAUGACCCAGCCAUGGUGGAUGUCCUGUAUGCCAAGGUCCAAGUGAAAGAUGGUUCGGACAAGCUGCAGACCAUUGUGGAGCGGCUGGUGGACCACUUUGUUUCCUCAGGGCUGAUGGUCAGAGAAUGGGACAGAGUGAAACUGCACGGCACAGUGAUGAACACUCUGUUCAGGAAGGAUGCUUCAGCCGAAGCCGGAGGAGGAAGGCAGCAGAACAUGAAGGAGCGGGAGGCCUUCGAUGCCAGGAACAUAUUAAAGAGCUUUGGGUCGUACCAUUUUGGGGAGUUUGAUCUGAAUGCGGUCCAGAUUUCCCAGAGGUAUUCUAUCGACUGCACCGGUUUCUACACCUCCGCUGGCCUUCUGAACUUCUCCUGACCACCUCUCCCCUGAACGUUCACUCAGAGAGAGAUGUCAUUCAGGAUGUGCUGGGCAAAGGUUUCCAGGAAUGACUAGACCACAUGUCAGGACACUGCAGAGAAGACCACAGGUCAGGACACUGCAGAGAAGACCACAGGUCAGGACACUGCAGAGAAGACCACAUGUCAGGACACUGCAGAGAAGACCACAUGUCAGGACACUGCAGAGAAGACCACAGGUCAGAGGUGAACGAUGAAGCUUCAAGGUGGACUGGACCUGCAGAGAUGAAUGACCGGGUUACAAGGUGGACAUGUCAGAAUACUCUAGGAUGUCCAUUUCACCGUGUCAGGAAACUCUAGGAUGUCCCUGUCACUGUGCACUUGGCUGCAGGCCAAUCAAAUGCCAGUGGAAUUGUGUCAGAAAAUGCUGGCGUUCAUUUCCGUGGGACAUCGUGCUCCAUCUCCCCCAGUCACGUGCUU
This is a non-coding RNA of Oncorhynchus mykiss (rainbow trout), 1665 nucleotides long. The record is from RefSeq and is a predicted model, not a curated record. NCBI's taxonomy places the organism in Eukaryota, Metazoa, Chordata, Actinopteri, Salmoniformes, Salmonidae.